Molecule: non-coding RNA, 29 nt
Filed under: Mus musculus (house mouse)
Lineage: Eukaryota; Metazoa; Chordata; Mammalia; Rodentia; Muridae
Source: RNAcentral
UCUCUAGGUGGCUUCCCUUCAGUCUCUGU